This 253-nucleotide ribosomal RNA is filed under the name uncultured bacterium. Its description in RNAcentral is "partial 16S ribosomal RNA". It matches the Rfam family "Bacterial small subunit ribosomal RNA", at positions 524 to 776 of the family's 1533-position model. The record is from RNAcentral.
CACGUAAGGGGCGAGCGGUGUUCGGCAUUAUUGGGCGUAAAGGGCGCGUAGGCGGUCCUGUAAGCCCGGCGUGAAAACCUGGAGCUCAACUCCGGGCCUGCGCUGGGAACUGCGGGACUAGAGUCAUGGAAGGGAAGUUGGAAUUCCAGGUGUAGGGGUGAAAUCUGUAGAUAUCUGGAAGAACACCGGUGGCGAAGGCGAACUUCUGGCCAAUGACUGACGCUGAGGCGCGAAAGUGCGUGGAGCAAACAGG